CUUGGAGGAUGUAUAGUUAAAACUGUGUGUGUUUAUUAUAAAUACAUAAACGAUUUAUUCGUAUAAAAUUCUAGGUAGAAUUAUGAUAAUGACAUUGUCUAUCUAUAAGUCUUGACCAACAUGCGUGCCAGCAGUCGCGGCAAGACGCUAAAGACAAGUGUUAUUCAUCUUUAAUAGGUUUAAAGCGUACCUAGACGGUAAAUUAAGCCUUAACCGGAACUAAUUUAACUAGAGUUAGAUGUAAGGGUGCAUUAACGUACUGUUGAGUGUAGAGAUGAAAUUCUUUGAUACCAGAUGAUUGGCACGGGUUUAGGCGAAAGCAUCACCUUAUGUAAUAACUGACGUUGAGGGACGAAGGCUUUGAGUAGCGAACAGGAUUAGAUACCCUAGUAGUCUAAGCAGAAAAUGAUGAGUGUCAUAAGUUAAAUAUUUUUUAAUCUAUAAAUGAAAGUGUAAGCAUUCCACCUCAAGAGUAAGAUGGCAACAUUGGAAUUGAAAUCAUUAGACCGUUUCUGAAACCAGUAGUGAAGUAUGUUGUUUAAUUAGAUUAUACACAAAGAACCUUACCACAACUUGAAUAUUUUACAAGCGUUGCACGGCUGUCUUCAGUUAAUGUCGUGAGAUUGUGGUUAGUUCCAUUUAAUUAACGUAAACCCUUACUUUAUUUUAUUAUUAUAUAAAGUUGUUCGCCGUUAUAUUGGUAUAGAUAAAAGGGAGUAAGACAAGUCAUCAUGGCCUUAAUGUUG
Molecule: ribosomal RNA, 746 nt
Filed under: Collema leptaleum
Lineage: Eukaryota; Fungi; Ascomycota; Lecanoromycetes; Peltigerales; Collemataceae
Description: SSU rRNA
Rfam family: Bacterial small subunit ribosomal RNA
Source: RNAcentral